UUGGCUCCAUUUAAGUUGUCACACUCGAAUAAAAUAUCCAUAAUUAUAUAUUAUCAAUUGGUUUUAUAUGGAAAAUCAAUGGCUUUAACGCUAUUAUAAUUUUAUAUUAUAAAAAGGUAUUAUGAUUAAAAUAAUAAAAAUUCAAAGUAAAAAGUAAUAACUGCAUUGCAUGUCAUCCUUGCUCCACUGAUACGCUAUACAGUGGCGGAUCAAGAGAUAGGGGGUGAAACCUAUGGAACACCACGAAACCUACCUUUUAUUUUACGUGAUUUUGUAUGAAUAGGGACAUAUGGUUGGCCCUUCCCACUUUAUCAUGGGUUGGACUCCUCCCCUCUCAUUUUUAAACAAAAUGUCUGGAUCCACCUCUGAUAUACUGCAAAACGGUGUUGUUUUCCGUGUGUAACAGGAAAACAUUGAAGUAAGAUGAUAAUAAAAUGGUGUGCACCCGGUCAUGGCAAACGUAUACUGUUAUAAAUUUGUACUACUUAUAGUGUAUAACUUAAGACAUGAAAUACUAUAUAUUAUGUUGAAAAAAAAUUAAAGUAUAUAUAUUAUUUUAAUGGGCUGAUGAAAGUAAGCAUCUUACAUCUUUACUUUUUUGUACAUAAAUUAUGCCGUUAGUUUUCUCGUUUGAAUUGUUUUACAUUAAUUUUGUCAUUUCGGGGCCUUUUAUAGCUGACUAUGCGGUAUGGACUGUGCUCAUUGUAAAAGGCCAUACGGUGACCUAUACUAGUUGUUAAUUUCUAUGUCAGUUGGUCUCUUUUGGAGAGUUGCAUGUGUCAUUGGCAAUCAUACCACAUCUUCUUUUUUAAAUCUUUUUAAAAAAAUUGUCUCUCACUAUUUUAGGGUAGCUAUUAAUACACCGGCGACAACAUGGGAAUGACCCGGUUGUUGCAAUCCCUGCUUCUUCCGGAUUUGUUUUAUUCUUUAAACUAUGUAAAAAAAACAAUGGAAAUUGUUCUGGAUCGACUGCUUAUUCCAGAUGGAAUCAACUAGUGACACACAUAUCGGGUCUUUUUUUCUUCUUCGUUCCUUUCUUUUCUUUGAUAAAAUGAGAUUACACAAGUUAUAAUAAAUGACGAGCCAUCAUUCUUAUGACCAUGUUUCUAAACAACUUAUUUGGGGUUGUUAGAGACAUGGGUAACUCUUAUACAGUGGAUUGGAUGAGUGGGGACAAACCAGUGUUGAAGAAAAACAAGCUUUUUUUAAAUACAGAGUGUGGCCAUAAGUAUUCGUCACUUGAGAUUUUUCGCUAUAUAUUGUAUAUAAAACUACAUUUUUUCAAAAAAAUAUUUUGGGGUCAUUUUUGGUUUGAUUUUGUAGAUACUUUUUUAUUCCAAAACAAAAAUCCUGUUUUCAAUAUCCUCAGUUGCCUAGGAUGCCGAAUCAAGCUUUGGGGCAAGAUUUGAUUUAAGGUUUUGGGUACAUUUUAAGUAUUUUUAAACAAAAAAUAUAAUAUUCAAUCUAAAUUAUGUAUGCGCUGACCAAUUUUAAUGCCAGUUUUUUUUAAUAGGAAUAGGCCUUCAUACUGCUAUUGGGAUCAAGCUAGCUAGACAUUUUGGCUAAUUGAGAAAAACAUGAGAUAAAAAUGAAAGCUUUAUGGUGGUUGUUCAAUUCAUAGAAAAGAUCUCGUAAACUUAAAUACCACUGCCAUGACUGUCAUUAUUCAUAUAACGGUUAAAUUUCAAUUCCCAUAAGAAAUCAUAUUCAAUUAUCACGAACAUGUGCAGAUAUAUGACAGAUUAUCAUUACCAUUGCAAUUUCU
RNAcentral lists this long non-coding RNA (1765 nucleotides) under Mytilus galloprovincialis (Mediterranean mussel). Lineage: Eukaryota; Metazoa; Mollusca; Bivalvia; Mytilida; Mytilidae. The record is from RNAcentral.